Molecule: ribosomal RNA, 212 nt
Filed under: uncultured bacterium
Lineage: Bacteria
Description: partial 16S ribosomal RNA
Rfam family: Bacterial small subunit ribosomal RNA
Source: RNAcentral
CAGUUCGGACUGCAGGCUGCAACUCGCCUGCACGAAGUUGGAAUUGCUAGUAAUCGUGGAUCAGCAUGCCACGGUGAAUACGUUCCCGGGUCUUGUACACACCGCCCGUCACACCAUGGGAGCCGGUAAUACCCGAAGUCAGUAGUCUAACCGCAAGGAGGACGCUGCCGAAGGUAGGAUUGGCGACUGGGGUGAAGUCGUAACAAGGUAAC